CAGGCUGGUUAGAUGGUUGU
This 20-nucleotide non-coding RNA is filed under the name Xenopus tropicalis (tropical clawed frog). Lineage: Eukaryota; Metazoa; Chordata; Amphibia; Anura; Pipidae. RNAcentral also lists the same sequence under 1 other name. The record is from RNAcentral.